This is a long non-coding RNA of Temnothorax curvispinosus, 418 nucleotides long. RefSeq lists it as uncharacterized. The transcript has 3 exons. NCBI's taxonomy places the organism in Eukaryota, Metazoa, Arthropoda, Insecta, Hymenoptera, Formicidae. The record is from RefSeq and is a predicted model, not a curated record.
CAAAAUCGAAAAGUAGAAGGUUAUGUCGAGCACAUAAUACCAUCGUUCAGCAGUGAACAUUUUAAAUCGCAUUUUCGUAUUCGACCUUCAACAUUUGAGUAUAUUUUAAAUGAAAUUGGAGAAAGGCUUCAUGGCCCAAGUAAUGGAAUUGAAAUAGUAUCACCAGAAAAGCAGCUCUUAGUAGCUCUAUGGCGUUUUGCGACACCAGAUUCAUAUAGAUCAAUAAUUCAAAGGUUUAAUAUUAGUAAAGGUACAGGAAUAACAGCUGUACGCCGUGUUGCUAAAGCACUAUGUGAACUCUCACAAAGAUACAUAUUAUUGUGGCCUAAUGAAGAUGACUUUGAGGAUGUUGUUUAUGGCUUUUCUCGUGCACGUGGUUUUCCUGGUACUAUAGGGGCCAUAAAUGGUACGCAUAUAA